GUGAGGAAUAUUGGUCAAUGGGCGGGAGCCUGAACCAGCCAAGUCGCGUGAAGGAAGAAGGAUCUAUGGUUCGUAAACUUCUUUUGCAGGGGAAUAAAGUGCAGGACGUGUCCUGUUUUGUAUGUACCCUGAGAAUAAGGAUCGGCUAACUCCGUGCCAGCAGCCGCGGUAAUACGGAGGAUCCGAGCGUUAUCCGGAUUUAUUGGGUUUAAAGGGUGCGUAGGUGGUUUGAUAAGUCAGCGGUGAAAGUUUGCAGCUUAACUGUAAAAAUGCCGUUGAAACUGUCGGACUUGAGUGUAAAUGAGGUAGGCGGAAUGCGUGGUGUAGCUGUGAAAUGCAUAGAUAUCACGCAGAACUCCGAUUGCGAAGGCAGCUUACUAAGCUACAACUGACACUGAAGCACGAAAGCGUGGGGAUCAAACAGGAUUAGAAACCCGUGUAGUCC
This 445-nucleotide ribosomal RNA is filed under the name uncultured bacterium. RNAcentral's name for it is "partial 16S ribosomal RNA". It matches the Rfam family "Bacterial small subunit ribosomal RNA", at positions 354 to 796 of the family's 1533-position model. The record is from RNAcentral.